ACCACUUUGCUUUGAUGGAAAUUUUCAAUCUUGUUUUGACCCGACAUGGGAACUUUGUAUUCUCGCCAGCGGGGAAUGUUAGGCAACACCUGCAAGGGUAGCCUAGCCAGACAGGGUAAUUGUGGCUAAACCAGGUGCCAGCAGCCGCGGUCAUACCUGAACAACCCGAAAAUGAAACGACUCUUUUAGCGCCCUAACAUCCUUAUGCUACCAGUGAAAUGGAGCUAAUGCAGACACCUUAUUUAGCGAGCCCAAAGAGUGAAAUUCAAACAAUAAACUAGGAUUAGAGACCCUACUAUACUGAGCCACAUUUUACCGAGUCAAGCAGUAAUGUCCUUAGACAUAAACUUAAACAGCAUGGCGGUAAUUAAGAAUGUCAGGGAAACUUGUCCGAUAAAUGAUACCCCACAAGAGGUCCGACACCUCCUAAAAGUUUGUAUAUCGCCGUCCUUGGCAUGGUUUGAGACCAGGUCAACACCUAAUCCUAGGCAAAGACAGGCCUUUUUGCAGCCUACGGAGGUGUACGAGAUGAGUUACAAUCCUUAAUUUGGUCGGAUUCGGGCCCUAACACACCCAUAGAAGUCGGACUUGAUAGUAAAAGAAAUAGAGAAUAUUCUUUGAAAUGAAAUCUUAAUUGUGCACAAAUCGCCCGUCACUCUCGUUGAAAAAUGAGAUAAGUCGUAACAUAGUAGGGGUAGUGGAAGCUGCUCCU
Molecule: non-coding RNA, 712 nt
Filed under: Myosotella myosotis (mouse ear snail)
Lineage: Eukaryota; Metazoa; Mollusca; Gastropoda; Ellobiida; Ellobiidae
Source: RNAcentral